RNAcentral lists this ribosomal RNA (208 nucleotides) under uncultured soil bacterium. RNAcentral's name for it is "partial 16S ribosomal RNA". It matches the Rfam family "Bacterial small subunit ribosomal RNA", at positions 26 to 233 of the family's 1533-position model. The record is from RNAcentral.
AGAUUGAACGCUGGCGGCAGGCCUAACACAUGCAAGUCGAGCGGCAGCACGGGUACUUGUACCUGGUGGCGAGCGGCGGACGGGUGAGUAAUGCCUAGGAAUCUGCCUGAUAGUGGGGGAUAACGUUCGGAAACGGACGCUAAUACCGCAUACGUCCUACGGGAGAAAGGUGGGGGAUCUUCGGACCUCACGCUAUCAGAUGAGCCUA